Long non-coding RNA from Anser brachyrhynchus (Pink-footed goose), 2204 nucleotides. The record is from Ensembl. NCBI's taxonomy places the organism in Eukaryota, Metazoa, Chordata, Aves, Anseriformes, Anatidae.
GUGUUACCUCUAUUGAAGUAACUCAUAGGUUUUUUUCAGGCCAUAAGGGCCCAUGUAUUCUGACCUUUUUUUCUAACACUGGACAUAGAAUCUUACCCUGCAGCUUCUUGAGCUAACGGAGUCUUGCUCCCAAUUACUGCACGAGCACUGUUGGCAUUUUAUUGUAUUUCUCAUGGCAGUCAUUCUGCAAAACAUUAAAAAAUGUUUUAGAAGACGAUACGAUAAUUCAUGCUAUUAAUUUUUAACUUCACUCCAUAGUACAACAGAUUCACUUUCCAGCUGUGGCACAGGAGGCCCAAGCAUGUUUCUCCACCUAAUUCAUUGUUUCCAGGAAGCUUUCUACAUCAUCCUUACCUGACAGCAAGGGAAUGUUAUCAAAGGUCUCGCUUUAGCUAUAUUGCCCUUCCUGCUAGGCAUAUUGUUUCCUUUACAUGGAAUUUAUGUGUCCAACACUACAAUUCUGGCACUUGCCAAAGUCACCCAGGGUAACUGCUCCUGUUUAUUUUUAUUGCCAAGCCGAAAUGCUGCUUGAAUCCAGGACACCCUCCUUUCCCUUUAAUCUUGAUGCAUUCUGAAAGGAAGUGCAAAACUGAACUGUUCACUGAAGUCUUCAGGAAGAAGUUUUGCUCUUACAACAACAUGUGUGCAAACAAAAUCUUUCAUCUUGAUUGAUAAGUACACAAUGCUUUAUUCACCAGAGACCAGGAUUAAAUGAAAUAUGAACUGUGACUUCCAGAAACUGCUGCUGAAGAUGAGACCGGACUGAAAAGUCUCAGUAAGGAUGGGAACAUUGUUGUUGAAUCAGAUAAACUAAAGAGAAGAAACUACUCGUUUUCGAGAGCCCUGGAUGCUCUAAAUGCUGAGGAUUUCCCAACCAGAGGCUUUUGGAUGUUUCCAGCCAAGAAGGAUUUGGCAAAAGAUCCAGAUACGUUGUGAAUGCUUUUCAACUUCUGGAGGUUCAGGUUAUAUAAGCACAACAUGUUUAUACAGAAGAAGGGGUAGUUAUCUCAGAGGAAGAGAGGAGCACAAAUCUUUCUUAUUGCUGGCAUCUGACAAGAAAGCAUUCCUAUUGAUCUGUUUUGUGCUCCAGAACAGGAUUGACCCUGGUCUCUCAGGCUGUCUCAGGUUGAAAUACUUGAAAAUCUCCCAGACCUUUAUCUCCCCUGGAAGUGGAAGCCUUCUGGCGCACCAUUUUGCUCUCUAAAGGAACAUGACAGAGCUAAGUAAACCAAAAUGAAAAGUCAGACUUAUGAACAAAGUUCAUAAAGACUGCAACACAACUUAGUUCAUAUCACAGUAGACACAUGGAUCUAUACAAAAACAAGGCCUUCCUCCAUUUCAGCAUCCCUUCAGAGACUUCCUUUGAGCUCAGUUCAGAUUUUUUGGACCAGUACUGGGAUUUCUGAUCAAAUCAUACCCUUCUUCUGAAACAUGGGACACUCCCAACCUACCCUAUGUUUUCUAACCCAAUCCCUCCAUUAAAGCAGUUCAUUUGUCUCAUCUUGUCUCGUCAUCCCCUUGAGCCUCGACAGUUAAAUCCACCACAGCUAGACCCUGAAGGCCAAGCCUGUGACACCAAGCCCUCUCUGGCAUGGCUCCCAUCUCUUGACCAAUGAAUUCCUCUCGUAUGGUAAUGCGUAAAUUGGUUUGCAGCUCUCCCUGCUUUCGUCGAAUCUACUUUGCUUCAGGAUACCAUGACUAAAUGCAGAGUCCAAAGGCUUUCACUGUCUGAGAUGGCUUCCCAGGAUUCGGCAGAUCCUCCAUCUCAGAUUACAAAGAACUAGUGUGGCUCUGAGCAUGAGUGAGUUUUAGUCGGGACUGCUAGAAGACAGCUGAUAUGAAAGCACUAUGACAGCUAAAUACGUAUGCUUUUAUAUAAACCUUCAAGGUCUUUGUAAUAUAAAUGAAGACAAGAUACAAAUCCUAAAGUAAGAGAGGAACGUCCCACUCUCUGGAUCUUGUGACUGCACUCCAUUGCAAUACUCCUGCAUAGAAUCACUAUGGAGCCCAAAGCAUCCCCUGGCCUCCACAAGAGAAAAUGUUGAGUCUCAAGAAGCAAUCUUACACCAGUCCACGGGGAUAUUCUUAGAAAGCUCAAAGAGGAUAAAUGCACUAUUCCUGAGUUCACUGCUCCUCAGAGUUGCCUCCCACCAUCCUACAAGCCAUUACAGUCUGUCACAACAGUGACAGAAUAUGAUAGGAGG